This is a long non-coding RNA of Cryptotermes secundus, 447 nucleotides long. RefSeq lists it as uncharacterized. NCBI's taxonomy places the organism in Eukaryota, Metazoa, Arthropoda, Insecta, Blattodea, Kalotermitidae. The transcript is spliced from 3 exons. The record is from RefSeq and is a predicted model, not a curated record.
CAUGUCAUACGUAUACGAGUACGUGUAGUGACGCUUGGAAGUAACAAAAAUUAAUGUACAAGGUACUGCUUAGUCUUUGCUGGAUGUUUACUUGCCCACAUCACCUAACAAUUGAUACUUCAGGGCCACAGCAGGCAAAAUUAAACUGUUUUACUAAACUCCUGCUGCCAUGAAAAGGACCAUCCUUGGGUUUGUGAGAGUUUUGUGUAGUGCUGCUUCAAAUAAAACGAACCAUCAACAGCAACUGUAGUGUUCUGCACUUUAGUAAUUCUGGUCAUGUUGCCAGCCCAAGAAACAUUCCAACUAUCACAGUCAGCUCUCAGUUUCCAGCUCCAAAUCAAGUUAGAGCAAGGGUCUCCAAACUACAGCCCGCAGGCCACAUCUGGAUCGCGAUGUGAUUUUAUCCAGCCCACGAAAGAAUUGUGCAGAAAUGCACCAACUGAACUA